GCAGUAGUACUUCAGUGGUAGAAUUCUCGCCUCCCGUGCAGGAGACCCAGGCUUAAUUCCUGGCCAAUGUA
RNAcentral lists this transfer RNA (71 nucleotides) under Loxodonta africana (African savanna elephant). It matches the Rfam family "tRNA". Rfam says of the family: Transfer RNA (tRNA) molecules are approximately 80 nucleotides in length. Their secondary structure includes four short double-helical elements and three loops (D, anti-codon, and T loops). The record is from Rfam by way of RNAcentral. Lineage: Eukaryota; Metazoa; Chordata; Mammalia; Proboscidea; Elephantidae.